AUUAAUGGCCAUACCACCCUGAACACGCCCGAUCUCGUUUGAUCUUGGAAGCUAAGCAGGAUCGGGCCGGGAUAAUACUGGCGAGGCGCGGUGGCUCAUGCCUAUAAUC
RNAcentral lists this ribosomal RNA (109 nucleotides) under Pan troglodytes (chimpanzee). The record is from RNAcentral. Lineage: Eukaryota; Metazoa; Chordata; Mammalia; Primates; Hominidae.